UAGCAGCACAGAAAUAUUGGCC
RNAcentral lists this non-coding RNA (22 nucleotides) under Ornithorhynchus anatinus (platypus). Lineage: Eukaryota; Metazoa; Chordata; Mammalia; Monotremata; Ornithorhynchidae. RNAcentral also lists the same sequence under 1 other name. The record is from RNAcentral.